CAAUACUCGCUGGCGACCGGCGCACGGGUGCGUAACACGUAUGCAACUUUCCUUCAACUGGAAGAUAGCCCGAAGAAAUUCGGAUUAAUAUUCCAUAGUUAUAUGAAAUGGCAUCAUUUUAUAUUUAAAGCUCAGGCGGUUGAAGAUGGGCAUGCGUUCGAUUAGCUAGUUGGUGAGGUAAUGGCUCACCAAGGCUACGAUCGAUAGGGGAUCUGAGAGGAUUAACCCCCACACUGGUACUGAGACACGGACCAGACUCCUACGGGAGGCAGCAGUAAGGAAUAUUGGACAAUGGAGGCAACUCUGAUCCAGCCAUGCCGCGUGAAGGAUGAAGGUCCUAUGGAUUGUAAACUUCUUUUGAACGGGAGAAAACCUUCGGUCGUGUACCGAAGCUGAUAGUACCGUUAGAAUAAGGGUCGGCUAACUUCGUGCCAGCAGCCGCGGUAAUACGAAGGACCCGAGCGUUAUCCGGAUUUAUUGGGUUUAAAGGGUGCGUAGGCGGAAUGGUAAGUCAGUGGUGAAAUCUUGUGGCUUAACUGCAAAACUGCCAUUGAUACUGCCAAUCUUGAGUACAUUUGAUGUGGGCGGAAUGUGCCAUGUAGUGGUGAAAUACUUAGAUAUGGCACAGAACACCGAUCGCGAAGGCAGCUCACAAAACUGUUACUGACGCUGAGGCACGAAAGCGUGGGGAUCAAACAGGAUUAGAUACCCUGGUAGUCCACGCCUUAAACUAUGAUUACUCGAUGUGUGCGAUACACAGUACGCGUCUAAGCGAAAGCGUUAAUAAUCCACCUGGGGAGUACGGUCGCAAGAUUGAAACUCAAAGAAAUUGACGGGGGCCCGCACAAGCGGAGGAGCAUGUGGUUUAAUUCGAUGAUACGCGAGGAACCUUACCUGGGCUUGAAAGUUAGUGAAUGCUGUGGAAACAUGGCAGGCCGCAAGGACACGAAACUAGGUGCUGCAUGGCUGUCGUCAGCUCGUGCCGUGAGGUGUUGGGUUAAGUCCCGCAACGAGCGCAACCCCUAUCUUUAGUUGCCAGCGAGUAUUGUCGGGGACUCUAAAGAAACUGCCCGUGCAAACGGUGAGGAAGGUGGGGAUGACGUCAAGUCAGCACGGCCCUUACGUCCAGGGCUACACACGUGCUACAAUGGCGAGUACAAAGGGCAGCUACAUGGUGACAUGAUGCUAAUCUCUAAAACUCGUCUCAGUUCGGAUUGAAGUCUGCAAUUCGACUUCAUGAAGCUGGAUUCGCUAGUAAUCGGAUAUCAGCAAUGAUUCGGUGAAUACGUUCCCGGGCCUUGUACACACCGCCCGUCAAACAAUGGAAGCUGAGGGUACUUAAAGUCGAUAACC
This 1353-nucleotide ribosomal RNA is filed under the name metagenome. RNAcentral describes it as "bacterial SSU rRNA". It matches the Rfam family "Bacterial small subunit ribosomal RNA", at positions 79 to 1435 of the family's 1533-position model. The record is from RNAcentral.